RNAcentral lists this ribosomal RNA (301 nucleotides) under uncultured bacterium. RNAcentral's name for it is "partial 16S ribosomal RNA". It matches the Rfam family "Bacterial small subunit ribosomal RNA", at positions 509 to 807 of the family's 1533-position model. The record is from RNAcentral.
CAGCAGCCGCGGUAACACGGAGGGUGCAAGCGUUAAUCGGAAUUACUGGGCGUAAAGCGUGCGUAGGCGGUUCGUUAAGUCUGUUGUGAAAGCCCCGGGCUCAACCUGGGAAUGGCAAUGGAUACUGGCGAGCUAGAGUGUGUCAGAGGAUGGUGGAAUUCCCGGUGUAGCGGUGAAAUGCGUAGAGAUCGGGAGGAACAUCAGUGGCGAAGGCGGCCAUCUGGGACAACACUGACGCUGAGGCACGAAAGCGUGGGGAGCAAACAGGAUUAGAUACCCCCGUAGUCCCUGUCUCUUAUAC